GAUGAAGAACGUAGCGAAAUGCGAUAAGUAAUGUGAAUUGCAGAAUUCAGUGAAUCAUCGAGUCUUUGAACGCACAUUGCGCCCCCUGGUAUUCCGGGGGGCAUGCCUGUCCGAGCGUCAUUGCUGCCCUCAAGCACGGCUUGUGUGUUGGGCCCCCGUCCCCGGUUCUCCCCGGGGACGGGCCCGAAAGGCAGCGGCGGCACCGCGUCCGAUCCUCGAGCGUAUGGGGCUUUGUCACCCGCUCUGUAGGCCCGGCCGGCGCCAGCCGACACCCCAACUUUAUUUUCUAAGGUUGACCUCGGAUCAGGUAGGGAUACCCGCUGAACUUAAGCAUAUCAAUGCGGAGGA
This 348-nucleotide unclassified non-coding RNA is filed under the name soil metagenome. RNAcentral describes it as "partial contains 5.8S ribosomal RNA, internal transcribed spacer 2, and large subunit ribosomal RNA". The stretch from base 1 to 120 matches the Rfam family "5.8S ribosomal RNA", at positions 35 to 154 of the family's 154-position model. The record is from RNAcentral.